This 362-nucleotide unclassified non-coding RNA is filed under the name soil metagenome. RNAcentral's name for it is "partial contains 5.8S ribosomal RNA, internal transcribed spacer 2, and large subunit ribosomal RNA". The stretch from base 1 to 120 matches the Rfam family "5.8S ribosomal RNA", at positions 35 to 154 of the family's 154-position model. The record is from RNAcentral.
GAUGAAGAACGUAGUGAAAUGCGAUAAGUAAUGUGAAUUGCAGAAUUCAGUGAAUCAUCGAAUCUUUGAACGCACCUUGCGCUCCUUGGUACUCCGAGGAGCAUGCCUGUUUGAGUGUCAUUAAUAUAUCAACCUUCUCUUUUUUGAGUUGUUUGGAUGUGGGGGUUUGCUGGCCUCUUAAAUGAUUCAGCUCCCCUGAAAUGCAUUAGCAGAACAACCUGUUCAUUAGCGUGAUAAUUAUCUAUGCUAUUGAAUGUGAGGGCAGUUCAGCUUUCUAACCGUCCUUGGACAAUUCAUCAUUAAUGUGACCUCAAAUCAGGUAGGACUACCCGCUGAACUUAAGCAUAUCAAUAAGCGGAGGA